GUCUAUGGCCAUACCAGCCUGAAGCCCCCAAUCUCAUCUGAUCUCAGCAGCUAAGCAAACAUGGGCCUGGUUAGUACUUAGAUUGGAAAAAUGUGGUUAUUCACCUCUAAAAACACUAGUGCUAUCAUAGCUU
Ribosomal RNA from Cavia porcellus (domestic guinea pig), 133 nucleotides. The record is from Ensembl. NCBI's taxonomy places the organism in Eukaryota, Metazoa, Chordata, Mammalia, Rodentia, Caviidae.